UACGGAGGGGGCUAGCGUUGUUCGGAAUUACUGGGCGUAAAGCGCGCGUAGGCGGACCUGCAAGUCGGGGGUGAAAGCCCGAGGCUCAACCUCGGAACUGCCUUCGAUACUGCGGGUCUCGAGUCCGGUAGAGGUGAGUGGAAUUCCUAGUGUAGAGGUGAAAUUCGUAGAUAUUAGGAAGAACACCAGUGGCGAAGGCGGCUCGCUGGCCCGGUACUGACGCUGAGGCGCGAAAGCGUGGGGAGCAAACAGG
This 253-nucleotide ribosomal RNA is filed under the name uncultured bacterium. Its description in RNAcentral is "partial 16S ribosomal RNA". It matches the Rfam family "Bacterial small subunit ribosomal RNA", at positions 524 to 776 of the family's 1533-position model. The record is from RNAcentral.